CACUUCUAAGGAAGGCAGCAGGCGCGCAAAUUACCCAAUCCUGACUCAGGGAGGUAGUGACAAGAAAUAACAAUAAACCGGCUUAUGCCGGUUUAAUUGGAAUGAGUACAAUUUAAACAUCUUAACGAGGAACAAUUGGAGGGCAAGUCUGGUGCCAGCAGCCGCGGUAAUUCCAGCUCCAAUGGCGUAUACUAAAGUUGUUGCAGUUAAAAAGCUCGUAGUUGGAUUUCUGUGGGGACGGAGCGGCCGGCCGCAACACGCGGUUCGAGCUAGCGCUUUCCCUACAUCCUGCCGCGAACCGUGCUACCAUUAGUUUGGUGGCGCCGGGGAUCGGCUCGAUUACUUUGAGAAAAAUAGAGUGUUCAAAGCAGGCCACACGCCUUGAAUAAGUUAGCAUGGAAUAAUAACUAAGGACUUCGGUUCUAUUUUGUUGGUGUUCGGGACUGAAGUAAUGAUUGAUAGGGACAGUUGGGGCGGUCUGUAUUCCAAAGCGAGAGGUGAAAUUCUUAGACCUUCGGAAGACAAACAGCUGCGAAAGCGUUCCGCAAGGAUGUUCCCUUUGAUCAAGAACGAAAGUUGGGGGAUCGAAGACGAUCAGAUACCGUCGUAGUCUCAACUAUAAACUAUACCAGCUAGGGAUCGGCCAACGUUAUUCUAUACCGACUUGGUCGGCACCUUAUGAGAAAUCAAAGCAUCUGGGUUCCGGGGGGAGUAUGGUCGCAAGGCUGAAACUUAAAGGAAUUGACGGAAGGGCACCACCAGCCGUGGAGCCUGUGGCUUAAUUUGACUCAACACGGGAAAACUUACCAGGUCCAGACAUAGUAAGGAUUGACAGAUUGAUAGCUCUUUCUUGAUUCUGUGGGUGGUGGUGCAUGGCCGUUCUUAGUUGGUGGAGUGAUUUGUCUGGUUAAUUCCGUUAACGAACGAGACCCCAGCCUGCUAAAUAGCGCGUGUGAGCUUUGCUCGCAGCGAGCUUCUUAGAGGGACUAUGAUGCGCGAUAGCACAUGGAAGUUUGGGGCAAUAACAGGUCUGUGAUGCCCUUAGAUGUUCUGGGCCGCACACGGGCUACACUGGCGCCUGCAACGAGCAUAUCAGCUGGCCCGAGGGGGUCUUGGCUAAUCUUUUGAACCGGCGCCGUGCUUGGGAUUGACCUUUGCAAUUGUUGGUCAUGCAACGAGGAAUGCCUUGUAAACGCGAGUCAUCAGCUCGCAUUGAACACGUCCCUGCCCUUUGUACACACCGCCCGUCGCUCCUACCGAUGAAUGUUCCGAUGAAAUUUUCGGAGAGUGCCUGUGAACUUGGCUCUGCCUUGCGAACGGGAAGCUCAAAGUCACUUAAAUCUGAACAUUUCG
This 1353-nucleotide ribosomal RNA is filed under the name uncultured marine eukaryote. Its description in RNAcentral is "SSU rRNA". It matches the Rfam family "Eukaryotic small subunit ribosomal RNA", at positions 411 to 1776 of the family's 1831-position model. The record is from RNAcentral.